Long non-coding RNA from Protopterus annectens (West African lungfish), 128 nucleotides. RefSeq lists it as uncharacterized. Lineage: Eukaryota; Metazoa; Chordata; Ceratodontiformes; Protopteridae. The transcript is spliced from 2 exons. The record is from RefSeq and is a predicted model, not a curated record.
GAUGAUAGCCCCCCAUUCAAGGUCAUCCAGAGAUGGACUUGGGGGGACGAUGAUAGCCCCCCAUUCAAGGUCAUCCAGAGAUGGACUUGGGGGGACGAUGAUAGCCCCCCAAGAUGGACUUGGGGGGA